RNAcentral lists this ribosomal RNA (492 nucleotides) under uncultured bacterium. RNAcentral describes it as "partial 16S ribosomal RNA". It matches the Rfam family "Bacterial small subunit ribosomal RNA", at positions 29 to 507 of the family's 1533-position model. The record is from RNAcentral.
AGUGAACGCUGGCGGUAGGCCUAACACAUGCAAGUCGAACGGCAGCACAGUAAGAGCUUGCUCUUACGGGUGGCGAGUGGCGGACGGGUGAGGAAUACAUCGGAAUCUACUUUUUCGUGGGGGAUAACGUAGGGAAACUUACGCUAAUACCGCAUACGACCUACGGGUGAAAGCAGGGGAUCUUCGGACCUUGCGCGAUUGAAUGAGCCGAUGUCGGAUUAGCUAGUUGGCGGGGUAAAGGCCCACCAAGGCCACGAUCCGUAGCUGGUCCGAGAGGAUGAUCAGCCACACUGGAACUGAGACACGGUCCAGACUCCUACGGGAGGCGGCAGUGGGGAAUAUUGGACAAUGGGCGCAAGCCUGAUCCAGCCAUACCGCGUGGGUGAAGAAGGCCUUCGGGUUGUAAAGCCCUUUUGUUGGGAAAGAAAAGCAGCAGGUUAAUACCCCGCUGUUCUGACGGUACCCAAAGAAUAAGCACCGGCUAACUUCGUG